ACCUACGGGAGGCAGCAGUGGGGAAUAUUGGACAAUGGGCGCAAGCCUGAUCCAGCCAUGCCGCGUGUGUGAAGAAGGCCUUAUGGUUGUAAAGCACUUUAAGCGAGGAGGAGGCUACUUUAGUUAAUACCUAGAGAUAGUGGACGUUACUCGCAGAAUAAGCACCGGCUAACUCUGUGCCAGCAGCCGCGGUAAUACAGAGGGUGCAAGCGUUAAUCGGAUUUACUGGGCGUAAAGCGCGCGUAGGCGGCUAAUUAAGUCAAAUGUGAAAUCCCCGAGCUUAACUUGGGAAUUGCAUUCGAUACUGGUUAGCUAGAGUGUGGGAGAGGAUGGUAGAAUUCCAGGUGUAGCGGUGAAAUGCGUAGAGAUCUGGAGGAAUACCGAUGGCGAAGGCAGCCAUCUGGCCUAACACUGACGCUGAGGUGCGAAAGCAUGGGGAGCAAACAGGAUUAGAUACCCGGGUAGUCCA
RNAcentral lists this ribosomal RNA (469 nucleotides) under Pseudomonas sp. DCB_Q. RNAcentral describes it as "bacterial SSU rRNA". It matches the Rfam family "Bacterial small subunit ribosomal RNA", at positions 337 to 797 of the family's 1533-position model. The record is from RNAcentral. Lineage: Bacteria; Pseudomonadati; Pseudomonadota; Gammaproteobacteria; Pseudomonadales; Pseudomonadaceae.